This 486-nucleotide ribosomal RNA is filed under the name uncultured bacterium. RNAcentral describes it as "partial 16S ribosomal RNA". It matches the Rfam family "Bacterial small subunit ribosomal RNA", at positions 30 to 507 of the family's 1533-position model. The record is from RNAcentral.
AUUGAACGCUGGCGGCAUGCCUUACACAUGCAAGUCGAACGGCAGCACGGGUGCUUGCACCUGGUGGCGAGUGGCGAACGGGUGAGUAAUACAUCGGAACAUGUCCUGUAGUGGGGGAUAGCCCGGCGAAAGCCGGAUUAAUACCGCAUACGAUCUACGGAUGAAAGCGGGGGACCUUCGGGCCUCGCGCUAUAGGGUUGGCCGAUGGCUGAUUAGCUAGUUGGUGGGGUAAAGGCCUACCAAGGCGACGAUCAGUAGCUGGUCUGAGAGGACGACCAGCCACACUGGAACUGAGACACGGCCCAGACUCCUACGGGAGGCAGCAGUGGGGAAUUUUGGACAAUGGGCGAAAGCCUGAUCCAGCAAAGCCGCGUGUGUGAAGAAGGCCUUCGGGUUGUAAAGCACUUUUGUCCGGAAAGAAAUCCUUGGCCCUAAUACGGUCGGGGGAUGACGGUACCGGAAGAAUAAGCACCGGCUAACUACGUG